Molecule: long non-coding RNA, 1341 nt
Filed under: Salmo salar (Atlantic salmon)
Lineage: Eukaryota; Metazoa; Chordata; Actinopteri; Salmoniformes; Salmonidae
Description: lncRNA (ENSSSAG00000093008.1)
Source: RNAcentral
AUUGUGUGCCGCACUAUGGGACUCCCAAUCACAGCCAGAUGUCAUACAGCCUGGAUUUGAACCAGGAGUUCCAGAUGUGGCUGCAGGAGAGUAGUGGCAGAGAACACUGCAGGGCAUUUUCUCUGAGCAAUGAUAUGAAAUGUAGGACAUGUACAAACUGGUGCGAACGUGGUGAAGGCCGCUCAAAUUAACAAAUGGACCCGACUGCAAUGUUUUGGACAUCGUCUGCACUUGGCCAAUGAGAGAGUAGGUAGAGACAAAUGGGUGGAUCGAGCAAUUGGAGUGUGUAAGAAAGUGGUAGGUGCCUUUUCCUAUUGGUGGAAAAAGAAGAGGGACCUGGCAGUUGUUCAAAAAGAACACAACCUACCCCAGGGCAAGUUGGUGACAGAGUCGCCUACAAGGUGGGGAUCACGUCAAAAGAUGGUGCAAAGAGUAAUGGAGCAGGAGAAAGCCAUUUCACAGGUCAUGUCCAGUGACAAGAAGACCCGGCACUUACCUCCCACCUAUACAGAUAUAGAUGUUCUUGAGUCCAUCAACCAGGCAUUGACCCCACUCCUAGUCUUAUGUCAGUGUGUCUUACCUGAAGCCAGUACUACACCUGUUCAAUACAGAGGUCAUGAAACCUGAUGAUGGUGAAACAGAGCUCACCCAAACCAUCAAAACGGUAGUCAUGGACUAUCUGAAUGAGAAAUAUGAUGACCUAGCCACAGAUGACCUCCUGGACACAGCAUCGUUAGUCGACCCUGGGUUAAAACACAUUACAUCAAAGAGGAGAAGGUGGGCCACAUAAAAGCAAGAGCUGUCUCAGAGAUGGUCAGUGACGGAGAUGAAAACCCAAGCCCAGCACAGGGAGACGUUGCUGCUGCUGCUUCACCACAAAUGCCAGCUAAAAAGAGAAAGUCACUGGGCAGUUUUUUCAAAAAACCAUGCUCCACCACCACAGGUCUUACUGAAAUCCAGCUGGUAGAAAAGGGACUCAGCUGCUACCUUCAGUCUCCUGAUGCUGACGGUGAAACCAAUCCACUGGACUGGCGGAAGAUCCACCCAAAAAACUUUCCCGAAGUCAGCCACCUGGCAAAGCGCUACCUGUGCAUUCCUGCGACCAGCUCCCCCUCAGAGUGUGUUUUUAGCACAGGUGGCAACAUAGUGACCUGCCAUAGGGCAGCUUUAAAGCCGGAGACAGUAGACAGACUUGUCUUUCUUGCUUGUAACUUGUAAGACAACAACGACUGGCUGAUGUUUUGGUCACUUUUGAAUGCUGGCGGUGCUUUCACUCUAGUGGUAGCAUGAGACGGAGUCUACAACCCACACAAGUGGCUCAGGUAGUGCAGCUCAUCCAGG